UGGAGGAUCGUCUAACGGUAGGACACGGGUCUCUGGAACCCGGUAUGAUGGUUCGAUUCCAUCUCCUCCAGCCA
This 74-nucleotide transfer RNA is filed under the name Candidatus Omnitrophica bacterium CG1_02_40_15. RNAcentral describes it as "tRNA-Gln". It matches the Rfam family "tRNA". From Rfam's summary of the family: Transfer RNA (tRNA) molecules are approximately 80 nucleotides in length. Their secondary structure includes four short double-helical elements and three loops (D, anti-codon, and T loops). The record is from RNAcentral. RNAcentral also lists the same sequence under 1 other name. Lineage: Bacteria; Pseudomonadati; Candidatus Omnitrophota.